GUCAUCGAAGAACUUCUGGAUGAACUCCAUGGGGUAGCCUGGUUCUCCAAGCUAGACCUUCGAGCAGGCUAUCACCAAAUUUGGUUGGCUCCAGGGGAGGAGUACAAAACAGCUUUCCAAACACGCCAAGGUCACUUCGAAUUCAAAGUGGUUUCGUUCGGCCUUGCUGGUGCACCAGCAACCUUCAUCGGGGCAGUCACCACUACACUGAAACCUAUCAACCGUGUCUGCGUCGUGUCCUUCUUCGACGACAUCUUAGUUUUCAGCAUCUCUCUCGAAGAUCAUGUGAUUCAUUUGCGUCAGGUUUUGGGGCUUCUGUGGAAGGACAGUUGGAAGGCUAAGAUGAGCAAAUGUGUUUUCGGACAGCAG
Molecule: ribosomal RNA, 369 nt
Filed under: Triticum aestivum (bread wheat)
Lineage: Eukaryota; Viridiplantae; Streptophyta; Magnoliopsida; Poales; Poaceae
Description: partial small subunit ribosomal RNA
Source: RNAcentral